This 254-nucleotide ribosomal RNA is filed under the name uncultured bacterium. RNAcentral's name for it is "partial 16S ribosomal RNA". It matches the Rfam family "Bacterial small subunit ribosomal RNA", at positions 524 to 776 of the family's 1533-position model. The record is from RNAcentral.
UACGAAGGGGGGCUAGCGUUGCUCGGAAUCACUGGGCGUAAAGCGCACGUAGGCGGAUUGCUAAGUCAGGGGUGAAAUCCUGGAGCUCAACUCCAGAACUGCCUUUGAUACUGGCAACCUUGAGUCCGGGAGAGGUGAGUGGAACUGCGAGUGUAGAGGUGAAAUUCGUAGAUAUUCGCAAGAACACCAGUGGCGAAGGCGGCUCACUGGCCCGGUACUGACGCUGAGGUGCGAAAGCGUGGGGAGCAAACAGG